AGUAUUGCGCAAUGGAGGGAACUCUGACGCAGCGACGCCGCGUGAGCGAUGAAGGUCCUCGGAUCGUAAAGCUCUGUCCUUGGGGAAGAAUGCUGUUGAAGAAACAGCUUGACGGUACCCGAGGAGGAAGCCCCGGCUAACUACGUGCCAGCAGCCGCGGUAAUACGUAGGGGGCAAGCGUUGUCCGGAAUUAUUGGGCGUAAAGGGUGCGUAGGCGGCCUUUUAAGUCAGAUGUGAAAGACCACGGCUUAACCGUGGGGUUGCAUUUGAAACUGGAGGGCUUGAGUAUCGGAGAGGGUAGUGGAAUUCCCAGUGUAGCGGUGGAAUGCGUAGAUAUUGGGAGGAACACCAGUGGCGAAGGCGACUACCUGGACGAAAACUGACGCUGAGGCACGAAAGCUAGGGGAGCAAAC
This 413-nucleotide ribosomal RNA is filed under the name uncultured bacterium. Its description in RNAcentral is "partial 16S ribosomal RNA". It matches the Rfam family "Bacterial small subunit ribosomal RNA", at positions 359 to 773 of the family's 1533-position model. The record is from RNAcentral.